GUGCCCUUAGCUCAGGUGGAUAGAGCGUGGGUUUCCGAAGCCCAAGGUCGGGGGUUCAAGUCCCCCAGGGCACGC
Molecule: transfer RNA, 75 nt
Filed under: bacterium HR13
Lineage: Bacteria
Description: tRNA-Arg
Rfam family: tRNA
About the family: Transfer RNA (tRNA) molecules are approximately 80 nucleotides in length. Their secondary structure includes four short double-helical elements and three loops (D, anti-codon, and T loops).
Source: RNAcentral